Dalotia coriaria is the source of this 523-nucleotide long non-coding RNA. RefSeq lists it as uncharacterized. Lineage: Eukaryota; Metazoa; Arthropoda; Insecta; Coleoptera; Staphylinidae. The transcript has 2 exons. The record is from RefSeq and is a predicted model, not a curated record.
ACCAGUUUAGUUAUAACAGUUGAAACAAUGAUUUUGCUUAAAAAUUUAUUUUUUGUGCUUUUAAUUAGCAUAAACAUUGUGUCUAUUUUCUGUUCGGUAGAACCAUGUGUUAAGCAAGAUGACGAAAUAACAAAAUGGCCGUUGGCUACUUGUGAGGAUGAUUCCAGAGGCUCACACUUUGAUUUAUUCAUGAAAAAAAUUGAGGAACAACUAUUUCCAGUGAAUACUAUAACAAAUGAAGUAGUAGUGGCAGGUGACGACAUUUGGGCAAACAGUAAAAUUUUAUAUGCAAAAUAUCGUGAUUGCAUCCAACAGUGUCAAAUGUACGCACAAACUGAAGAUCUCUUCAGAAAUGGUAUGAAACGCAUCCGUCAAUUAAUGACAGCUGACAUUGAGACAUGGACGCGUGGGAGUAUGUCUAAACAGUUGUUUGCUUGUGAUAGUAUCGAAGAAUGCAGGAAAAUUGAGUAAUUAACUUAGGAAUUACGUUAAUUGUACCAGUAUUAAUAAAAUUUAAUCGCUA